UACGUAGGGUGCAAGCGUUAAUCGGAAUUACUGGGCGUAAAGCGUGCGCAGGCGGUUAUGUAAGACAGUUGUGAAAUCCCCGGGCUCAACCUGGGAACUGCGCUUGUAACUGGCAAGCUAGAGUGUGGCAGAGGGGGGUGGAAUUCCACGUGUAGCAGUGAAAUGCGUAGAGAUGUGGAGGAACACCGAUGGCGAAGGCAGCCCCCUGGGCUAACACUGACGCUCAUGCACGAAAGCGUGGGGAGCAAACAGG
RNAcentral lists this ribosomal RNA (253 nucleotides) under uncultured bacterium. RNAcentral's name for it is "partial 16S ribosomal RNA". It matches the Rfam family "Bacterial small subunit ribosomal RNA", at positions 524 to 776 of the family's 1533-position model. The record is from RNAcentral.